UGGGCGAAAGCCUGAUCCAGCCAUGCCGCGUGAAUGAUGAAGGCCUUAGGGUUGUAAAAUUCUUUCAGCAGGGAAGAUAAUGACGGUACCUGCAGAAGAAGCCCCGGCUAACUUCGUGCCAGCAGCCGCGGUAAUACGGAGGGGGCUAGCGUUGUUCGGAAUUACUGGGCGUAAAGCGCUCGUAGGCGGAUUGUUCAGUCAGAGGUGAAAGCCCGGGGCUCAACCCUGGAACUGCCUUUGAUACUGGCAGUCUUGAGUUCAGGAGAGGUGAGCGGAAUUCCGAGUGUAGAGGUGAAAUUCGUAGAUAUUCGGAGGAACACCAGAGGCGAAGGCGGCUCACUGGACCGAUACUGACGCUGAGGAGCGAAAGCGUGGGGAGCAAACAGGAUUAGAUACCCUGGUAGUCCACGCCGUAAACGAUGAGUGCUAGUUGUCUGGCAGCAUGCUGGUAGGUGACGCAGCUAACGCAUUAAGCUCUCCGCCUGGG
Molecule: ribosomal RNA, 487 nt
Filed under: uncultured Maricaulis sp.
Lineage: Bacteria; Pseudomonadati; Pseudomonadota; Alphaproteobacteria; Maricaulales; Maricaulaceae
Description: bacterial SSU rRNA
Rfam family: Bacterial small subunit ribosomal RNA
Source: RNAcentral